Molecule: non-coding RNA, 107 nt
Organism: Pteropus alecto (black flying fox)
Lineage: Eukaryota; Metazoa; Chordata; Mammalia; Chiroptera; Pteropodidae
Source: Rfam
GUGCUCACUCCAGCAGCACAUAUACUAAAAUAGCAAUAAUAGAGAGAAGAUUAGCAUGGCCCCUGCACAAGGAUGACAUGCAAAUUUGCGAAGCAUCCCAUAAAUAA